Molecule: small nuclear RNA, 105 nt
Organism: Stegostoma tigrinum
Lineage: Eukaryota; Metazoa; Chordata; Chondrichthyes; Orectolobiformes; Stegostomatidae
Source: RefSeq, a predicted model, not a curated record
CUAUUCAUUUCAGCAACAUAUCUACUAUAAUUGGAAUGAUAUAGAAAAGAUUAGCAUACCUGUUGUGCAAGAAUGACCUGUGAAUAUGAGGUGUUCCACAUUUUG